Molecule: ribosomal RNA, 172 nt
Filed under: uncultured bacterium
Lineage: Bacteria
Description: partial 16S ribosomal RNA
Rfam family: Bacterial small subunit ribosomal RNA
Source: RNAcentral
UACGGGAGGCAGCAGUGGGGAAUAUUGCACAAUGGGCGAAAGCCUGAUGCAGCAACGCCGCGUGAGGGAUGACGGCCUUCGGGUUGCAAACCUCUUUUAGUAGGGAAGAAGCGAUAGUGACGGUACCUGCAGAAAAAGCACCGGCUAACUACGUGCCAGCAGCCGCGGUAAU